GACACACUAUCAUUAACUGAAUCCAUAGGUUAAUGAGGCGAACCGGGGGAACUGAAACAUCUAAGUACCCCGAGGAAAAGAAAUCAACCGAGAUUCCCCCAGUAGCGGCGAGCGAACGGGGAGGAGCCCAGAGCCUGAAUCAGUGUGUGUGUUAGUGGAAGCGUCUGGAAAGGCGCGCGAUACAGGGUGACAGCCCCGUACACAAAAAUGCACAUGCUGUGAGCUCGAUGAGUAGGGCGGGACACGUGGUAUCCUGUCUGAAUAUGGGGGGACCAUCCUCCAAGGCUAAAUACUCCUGACUGACCGAUAGUGAACCAGUACCGUGAGGGAAAGGCGAAAAGAACCCCGGCGAGGGGAGUGAAAAAGAACCUGAAACCGUGUACGUACAAGCAGUGGGAGCACAGAGCAAUCUGUGUGACUGCGUACCUUUUGUAUAAUGGGUCAGCGACUUAUAUUCUGUAGCAAGGUUAACCGAAUAGGGGAGCCGAAGGGAAACCGAGUCUUAACUGGGCGUUAAGUUGCAGGGUAUAGACCCGAAACCCGGUGAUCUAGCCAUGGGCAGGUUGAAGGUUGGGUAACACUAACUGGAGGACCGAACCGACUAAUGUUGAAAAAUUAGCGGAUGACUUGUGGCUGGGGGUGAAAGGCCAAUCAAACCGGGAGAUAGCUGGUUCUCCCCGAAAGCUAUUUAGGUAGCGCCUCGUGAAUUCAUCUCCGGGGGUAGAGCACUGUUUCGGCAAGGGGGUCAUCCCGACUUACCAACCCGAUGCAAACUGCGAAUACCGGAGAAUGUUAUCACGGGAGACACACGGCGGGUGCUAACGUCCGUCGUGAAGAGGGAAACAACCCAGACCGCCAGCUAAGGUCCCAAAGUCAUGGUUAAGUGGGAAACGAUGUGGGAAGGCCCAGACAGCCAGGAUGUUGGCUUAGAAGCAGCCAUCAUUUAAAGAAAGCGUAAUAGCUCACUGGUCGAGUCGGCCUGCGCGGAAGAUGUAACGGGGCUAAACCAUGCACCGAAGCUGCGGCAGCGACACUGUGUGUUGUUGGGUAGGGGAGCGU
This 1059-nucleotide ribosomal RNA is filed under the name Escherichia coli. Its description in RNAcentral is "partial 23S ribosomal RNA". It matches the Rfam family "Bacterial large subunit ribosomal RNA", at positions 142 to 1239 of the family's 2925-position model. Lineage: Bacteria; Pseudomonadati; Pseudomonadota; Gammaproteobacteria; Enterobacterales; Enterobacteriaceae. The record is from RNAcentral.